RNAcentral lists this ribosomal RNA (492 nucleotides) under uncultured bacterium. Its description in RNAcentral is "partial 16S ribosomal RNA". It matches the Rfam family "Bacterial small subunit ribosomal RNA", at positions 29 to 507 of the family's 1533-position model. The record is from RNAcentral.
AGUGAACGCUGGCGGUAGGCCUAACACAUGCAAGUCGAACGGCAGCACAGUAAGAGCUUGCUCUUACGGGUGGCGAGUGGCGGACGGGUGAGGAAUACAUCGGAAUCUACUUUUUCGUGGGGGAUAACGUAGGGAAACUUACGCUAAUACCGCAUACGACCUACGGGUGAAAGCAGGGGAUCUUCGGACCUUGCGCGAUUGAAUGAGACGAUGUCGGAUUAGCUAGUUGGCGGGGUAAAGGCCCACCAAGGCGACGAUCCGUAGCUGGUCUGAGAGGAUGAUCAGCAACACUGGAACUGAGACACGGUCCAGACUCCUACGGGAGGCAGCAGUGGGGAAUAUUGGACAAUGGGCGCAAGCCUGAUCCAGCCAUACCGCGUGGGUGAAGAAGGCCUUCGGGUUGUAAAGCCCUUUUGUUGUGAAAGAAAAGCAGCAGGUUAAUACCCCGCUGUUCUGACGGUACCCAAAGAAUAAGCACCGGCUAACUUCGUG